Molecule: transfer RNA, 63 nt
Filed under: Elasmosoma sp. QL-2014
Lineage: Eukaryota; Metazoa; Arthropoda; Insecta; Hymenoptera; Braconidae
Description: tRNA-Leu
Source: RNAcentral
AUUACUUUGGCAGAAUAAUGUAAUAAAUUUAGAAUUUAUUCAUGUAACCAUUUACAAGUAAUA